UACAGAGACUGCAAGCGUUAUUCGGAUUCACUGGGCGUAAAGGGUGCGCAGGCGGUCGUGUGUGUCAGGUGUGAAAUCCCGGAGCUUAACUUCGGAACUGCGCCUGAAACUACACGACUAGAGCAUUGGAGAGGGAAGUGGAAUUCAUGGUGUAGCAGUGAAAUGCGUAGAUAUCAUGAGGAACACCAGAGGCGAAGGCGACUUCCUGGACAAUUGCUGACGCUCAGGCACGAAAGCAUGGGGAGCAAAAGGG
This 253-nucleotide ribosomal RNA is filed under the name uncultured bacterium. RNAcentral describes it as "partial 16S ribosomal RNA". It matches the Rfam family "Bacterial small subunit ribosomal RNA", at positions 524 to 776 of the family's 1533-position model. The record is from RNAcentral.